UUGUUCGUUUAAUUCUUCGUUUAACUUUUUCAGAGAGCACAAAUACCAGAAAGAGAGCAAAAGUAAAGAGGUGUCACAUUCGCGACAAAAUUCCUAUUCAAGUGGUGACGUAAUUUGAGGACGAUAACUGGUCAGUUCGAGAUGAAGUACACACACGUACUCUAUAUAUUAUACGCAGGCCACGACCGCGUUUCCGCUGAUAAUAUCGUGUCAGCCUUUGCCAAACGGCGUUCAUUUAACCCCAUCAUUCCAUUGGAGCACGAUGCAAAGACGCCGCUGCACCGAAAGUUCAUUAUACCAUACCGAAUUGUUGGACAUUGUCUCGGGCACAAUUAUUUUGAAGCAGUUUUAUGCAGAAAAUAAAAACGACACUGCCAUGUAUGAGUAAAAAUUUGGAAUCACCAAAUUUUGUGUGUUUUGAAGGAGUUGAGAAUUUUCCGAAAGAAAGUUUAAACUACGAACCACUACAGUUUGAGAGAUUGGUUAUUUACAUAUAUGAAAUUAUAAUAUAUUAAAAUGGAAAGUCAUUAGACAAGAAAUUGAAUUACAAUGUACCAAACUCGAUAAUUGAUAUUUGGAUACAACGACGAAAAAAAAUUACUCUCUACUACAGCGAUACGUUAAAAAAACAGGAGAUUCCAACGCCGGAAAUUGCCGGUUACUCUUGAAUCCUUAAGUAGCCAAUUUCGAUUGAUUCCUCCAGAUCUCUACUGUCAGUCAUUAAAAAUCAACACAGCAUCGGAGGUGGCUAACUUCUGUAUCCUCAGGGGCGGAAAAUAAUGACAACGAUAAGGUACACCAGCCAUCUGUGUUUCGCAUAUGUUUGUAUGUCGCGUAUACUUGCGGCAUCCUACAUGCGAUAUCGUUCCAUAACCUCCCAUUAUACUUCAUUGCCAGAUACAUAUAUGUAUGUAUGGUACGUAUACGUGCAUGCAUCACAGAGCCACUUUCCUCUCUCGGUACACGCAGCUGCUUGAUGGCAAGAGAGAGAAAGAGAGAGAGAGAGAAAGGGGGGCGAGUACUAGGAUAAAAAAAAAGAACCCUUAGAA
Frieseomelitta varia is the source of this 1049-nucleotide long non-coding RNA. RefSeq lists it as uncharacterized. The record is from RefSeq and is a predicted model, not a curated record. The transcript has 6 exons. Lineage: Eukaryota; Metazoa; Arthropoda; Insecta; Hymenoptera; Apidae.